CCCUAGUAGCAAAAGUUACUGUAGCAAAGCUGAGAAAGGACAUCAUUUCAAAGAAGGAACACUAUCAGAGCUAUGGCAGUUCUAUCUAGCACAUGGAUUAUUCUGUUGGUUCCUUUGGUACUUCUGCUGUCUGUCUCAGCUACCCCAGUUGGUCAUGGUCACGAGCAUGAUCAUGACCACUCUGAAUCUGGAGAUGAUGAACAUGUUCAUCAAAAUUAUGAUGAUUUCUCAGGCAUUGAAAUCACAGAUUGCCUUGAUGACUGUAAAGAUUUGCUUGAGGGCUGUAAAUCUCCCUGUGGCAUUUAUAGAGACUGUAUCAAAGAGUGUCAUGAGCACUUUGAGCAUUAAGAAGAACCCUAAACUAUUAAGACUAGGUACAAUUAGAUAUUAGGCUUUUCCAAACUAACUUUAAAAUUCUAACUGAUUGUAACCAGGCUGUUGUAACAAUAUUUUGCUUUUUUUCAAUAAUAA
Molecule: long non-coding RNA, 471 nt
Organism: Amphimedon queenslandica
Lineage: Eukaryota; Metazoa; Porifera; Demospongiae; Haplosclerida; Niphatidae
Exons: 2
Source: RefSeq, a predicted model, not a curated record